AUGCAAGUCGAACGGUAACAUUUCUAGCUUGCUAGAAGAUGACGAGUGGCGGACGGGUGAGUAAUGCUUGGGAACUUGCCUUUGCGAGGGGGAUAACAGUUGGAAACGACUGCUAAUACCGUAUAAUGUCUUCGGACCAAACGGGGCUUAGGCUCCGGCGCAAAGAGAGGCCCAAGUGAGAUUAGCUAGUUGGUAAGGUAACGGCUUACCAAGGCGACGAUCUCUAGCUGUUCUGAGAGGAAGAUCAGCCACACUGGGACUGAGACACGGCCCAGACUCCUACGGGAGGCAGCAGUGGGGAAUAUUGCACAAUGGGGGAAACCCUGAUGCAGCCAUGCCGCGUGUGUGAAGAAGGCCUUCGGGUUGUAAAGCACUUUCAGUUGUGAGGAAAAGUUAGUAGUUAAUACCUGCUAGCCGUGACGUUAAUAACAGAAGAAGCACCGGCUAACUCCGUGCCAGCAGCCGCGGUAAUACGGAGGGUGCGAGCGUUAAUCGGAAUUACUGGGCGUAAAGCGCACGCAGGCGGUUUGUUAAGCUAGAUGUGAAAGCCCCGGGCUCAACCUGGGAUGGUCAUUU
RNAcentral lists this ribosomal RNA (576 nucleotides) under uncultured bacterium. RNAcentral describes it as "bacterial SSU rRNA". It matches the Rfam family "Bacterial small subunit ribosomal RNA", at positions 55 to 628 of the family's 1533-position model. The record is from RNAcentral.